CGAGUUCCCGUACGAUCACUAAAGUUAAGCAACGUCGAGCCUGUUCAGUACAUAGUUAGGCAACCGCUUGGGAAUACCAGGUGCUGUAAG
Molecule: non-coding RNA, 90 nt
Organism: Acanthosepion pharaonis
Lineage: Eukaryota; Metazoa; Mollusca; Cephalopoda; Sepiida; Sepiidae
Source: the annotation of a GenBank genome assembly